RNAcentral lists this ribosomal RNA (468 nucleotides) under uncultured bacterium. Its description in RNAcentral is "partial 16S ribosomal RNA". It matches the Rfam family "Bacterial small subunit ribosomal RNA", at positions 28 to 507 of the family's 1533-position model. The record is from RNAcentral.
GACGAACGCUGGCGGCGUGCUUAACACAUGCAAGUCGAACGGAAAGGCCCUGCUUUUGUGGGGUGCUCGAGUGGCGAACGGGUGAGUAACACGUGAGUAACCUGCCCUUGACUUUGGGAUAACUUCAGGAAACUGGGGCUAAUACCGGAUAGGAGCUCCUGCUGCAUGGUGGGGGUUGGAAAGUUUCGGCGGUUGGGGAUGGACUCGCGGCUUAUCAGCUUGUUGGUGGGGUAGUGGCUUACCAAGGCUUUGACGGGUAGCCGGCCUGAGAGGGUGACCGGCCACAUUGGGACUGAGAGACGGCCCAGACGCGUACGGGAGGCAGCAGUGGGGAAUAUGGCACAAUGGGCGGAAGCCUGAUGCAGCGACGCCGCGUGCGGGAUGACGGCCUUCGGGUUGUGAACCGCUUUCGCCUGUGACGAAGCGUGAGUGACGGUAAUGGGUAAAGAAGCACCGGCUAACUACGUG